GAUGAAGAACGCAGCGAAAUGCGAUACGUAGUGUGAAUUGCAGAAUUCCGUGAACCAUCGAAUCUUUGAACGCAUAUUGCGCUCUUUGGUAUUCCGAAGAGCAUGCUUGUUUGAGUAUCAGUAAACACCUCAACCUCUUCUUGAUUUUUCAAAAGGAGGGUGGACUUGAGCUAUCCCAACAACCUUUACCGGUCGGCGGGCGGCUUGAAAUGCAGGUGCAGCUGGACUUUUAUCUGAGCUAAAAGCAUAUCUAUUUAGUCCUCGUCAAACAGGAUUAUUACUUUUGCUGCAGCUAACAUAAAGGAUAAUUGUCCUCUUUGCUGACUGAUGCAGGAUUUUACGACACUUUAUGUGUUGUUCAACUCGAUCUCAAAUCAAGUAAGACUACCCGCUGAACUUAAGCAUAUCAAUAACGGAGGA
RNAcentral lists this unclassified non-coding RNA (420 nucleotides) under soil metagenome. RNAcentral's name for it is "partial contains 5.8S ribosomal RNA, internal transcribed spacer 2, and large subunit ribosomal RNA". The stretch from base 1 to 120 matches the Rfam family "5.8S ribosomal RNA", at positions 35 to 154 of the family's 154-position model. The record is from RNAcentral.